UACGAAGGGGGCUAGCGUUGUUCGGAAUUACUGGGCGUAAAGCGCACGUAGGCGGAAUGUUAAGUCAGGGGUGAAAUCUCGGGGCUCAACCCCGAAACUGCACUUGAUACUGCCUCGCUUGAGUACUGGAGAGGAGACUGGAAUUUACGGUGUAGCAGUGAAAUGCGUAGAUAUCGUAAGGAAGACCAGUGGCGAAGGCGAGUCUCUGGACAGUUACUGACGCUGAGGCACGAAGGCCAGGGGAGCAAACGGG
Molecule: ribosomal RNA, 253 nt
Filed under: uncultured bacterium
Lineage: Bacteria
Description: partial 16S ribosomal RNA
Rfam family: Bacterial small subunit ribosomal RNA
Source: RNAcentral